Molecule: ribosomal RNA, 684 nt
Filed under: uncultured bacterium
Lineage: Bacteria
Description: bacterial SSU rRNA
Rfam family: Bacterial small subunit ribosomal RNA
Source: RNAcentral
UCGAACGAAGCGCCUGCGGCGGACCCCUCCGGGGGAAAGCCGCAGGGGACUGAGUGGCGGACGGGUGAGCAACGCGUGGGCAACCUGCCCCGUACCGGGGGACAACAGCCGGAAACGGCUGCUAAUACCGCAUAUUCCCGCGGGGCCGCAUGGCCCUGCGGGGAAAGCUCCGGCAGUACGGGAUGGGCCCGCGUCUGAUUAGCUUGUUGGCGGGGUAACGGCCCACCAAGGCUGCGAUCAGUAGCCGGCCUGAGAGGGCGGCCGGCCACAUUGGGACUGAGACACGGCCCAGACUCCUGCGGGAGGCAGCAGUGGGGGAUAUUGCACAAUGGGGGGAACCCUGAUGCAGCGACGCCGCGUGAACGAAGAAAUAUUUCGGUAUGUAAAGUUCUAUCAGCAGGGAAGAAAAUGACAGUACCUGACCAAGAAGCCCCGGCUAACUACGUGCCAGCAGCCGCGGUAAUACGUAGGGGGCGAGCGUUAUCCGGAUUCACUGGGCGUAAAGGGAGCGCAGGCGGCACGGCAAGUCCGGUGUGAAAGCCCGGGGCCCAACCCCGGGACUGCACUGGAAACUGCCGGGCUGGAGUGUCGGAGGGGCAGGCGGAAUUCCUAGUGUAGCGGUGAAAUGCGUAGAUUUUUUGGGGAACACCGGUGGCGAAGGCGGCCUGCUGGACGACGACUGAC